RNAcentral lists this ribosomal RNA (251 nucleotides) under uncultured prokaryote. RNAcentral's name for it is "partial 16S ribosomal RNA". It matches the Rfam family "Bacterial small subunit ribosomal RNA", at positions 524 to 774 of the family's 1533-position model. The record is from RNAcentral.
UACGGAGGAUGCGAGCGUUAUCCGGAUUUAUUGGGUUUAAAGGGUGCGUAGGCGGAUUGAUAAGUCAGUGGUGAAAGCCUGCAGCUUAACUGCAGAACUGCCAUUGAUACUGAUAGUCUUGAGUUUGGUUAAGGUAGGCGGAAUGUGUAAUGUAGCGGUGAAAUGCUUAGAUAUUACACAGAACACCAAUUGCGUAGGCAGCUUACUGAGCCGACACUGACGCUGAGGCACGAAAGCGUGGGGAUCAAACA